This 462-nucleotide ribosomal RNA is filed under the name Vreelandella stevensii. RNAcentral's name for it is "partial 16S ribosomal RNA". It matches the Rfam family "Bacterial small subunit ribosomal RNA", at positions 338 to 795 of the family's 1533-position model. The record is from RNAcentral. Lineage: Bacteria; Pseudomonadati; Pseudomonadota; Gammaproteobacteria; Oceanospirillales; Halomonadaceae.
CCUACGGAGGCAGCAGUGGGGAAUAUUGGACAAUGGGCGAAAGCCUGAUCCAGCCAUGCCGCGUGUGUGAAGAAGGCCUUCGGGUUGUAAAGCACUUUCAGUGGGGAAGAAAGCCUUGGGGCUAAUACCCUCGAGGAAGGACAUCACCCACAGAAGAAGCACCGGCUAACUCCGUGCCAGCAGCCGCGGUAAUACGGAGGGUGCGAGCGUUAAUCGGAAUUACUGGGCGUAAAGCGCGCGUAGGCGGUCUGAUAAGCCGGUUGUGAAAGCCCCGGGCUCAACCUGGGAACGGCAUCCGGAACUGUCAGGCUAGAGUGCAGGAGAGGAAGGUAGAAUUCCCGGUGUAGCGGUGAAAUGCGUAGAGAUCGGGAGGAAUACCAGUGGCGAAGGCGGCCUUCUGGACUGACACUGACGCUGAGGUGCGAAAGCGUGGGUAGCAAACAGGAUUAGAUACCUGUAGUC